ACAAUGCACCGCCCGCCCUUUUCUUGCCGCCCCCCGCCUCUGCUCUCUGGAGACCCUGCGGAGCGAGCGCCGCGACCCUUUCCCGGCGCUCUUCGCGCGGUCUCGCGGUGACUCUGGUGGGUGGGGUCAAGGCGCGGGGCAGAGCUGCUGGGGUCGGGGCGUCAUGCGGAGGGGUGAGCGCAAGGGUGCCGAGGGGCCGCGGCCGGGGUCCCCUGUGCCCGUGGGCAAGGCCUCGCUGGAGGAGCCGCUGGACGGCGCGGCCGCGGGCCGAGCGAGCGGGCCGGCCGCUGGCCGCCGCAGCACCGAGUCAGAGGUCUACGACGACGGCACCAACACCUUCUUCUGGCGGGCCCACACCCUGAGCGUGCUCUUCAUCCUCACCUGCGUGCUGGGCUACGUGACACUGCUGGAAGAGACACCGCGGGACACGGCCUACAACACCAAGAGAGGUAUUGUGGCCAGUAUUUUGGUUUUCUUAUGUUUUGGAGUCACACAAGCUAAAGACGGGCCAUUUUCCAGACCUCAUCCAGCCUACUGGAGGUUUUGGCUCUGCGUCAGUGUGGUCUACGAGCUGGUGCUCAUCUUUAUACUCUUCCAGACCGUCCAGGACGGCCGCCAGUUUCUGAAGUAUGUAGACCCCAGGUUGGGGGUCCCGCUGCCGGAGAGGGACUACGGGGGAAACUGCCUCAUCUAUGAUGCCGACAACAAGACUGACCCCUUCCACAAUGUCUGGGACAAGCUGGACGGCUUUGUGCCCGCACACUUCAUCGGCUGGUACCUGAAGACCCUGAUGAUCCGUGACUGGUGGAUGUGCACGAUCGUGAGUGUGAUGUUUGAGUUCCUGGAGUACAGCCUGGAGCAUCAGCUGCCCAACUUCAGCGAGUGCUGGUGGGACCACUGGAUCAUGGACGUGCUCGUCUGCAACGGGCUGGGCAUCUACUGCGGCAUGAAGACUCUCGAGUGGCUGUCCCUAAAGACGUACAAGUGGCAGGGCCUCUGGAACAUUCCGACCUACAAGGGCAAGAUGAAGAGGAUCGUCUUCCAGUUCACGCCCUACAGCUGGGUCCGCUUCGAGUGGAAGCCAGCCUCCAGCCUGCGCCGCUGGCUGGCUGUGUGCGGCAUCAUCCUGGUGGUAAGGCCUGUGGCCUCCUGCAUGCCCCUGCCCUCCCCGCCCCGGGCGCCCUCCACCCUCCUCUGCCCCCAGUUUCUCUUGGCAGAGCUGAACACCUUCUACCUGAAGUUUGUGCUGUGGAUGCCCCCCGAGCACUACCUGGUCCUCCUGCGGCUAGUCUUCUUUGUCAACGUGGGCGGCGUGGCCAUGCGGGAGAUCUACGACUUCAUGGACGACCCGAAGCUCCACAAGAAGCUGGGCCAGCAGGCCUGGCUGGUGGCGGCCAUCACCGUCACGGAGCUGCUCAUCGUGGUGAAGUACGACCCGCACACGCUCACGCUGUCCCUGCCCUUCUACAUCGCCCAGUGCUGGACGCUCGGCUCCGUGCUCGCCCUCACCUGGACCGUCUGGCGCUUCUUCCUGCGGGACAUCACCCUGAGGUACAAGGAGACACGGCGGCAGAAGCAGCAGGGCAGGGACGACCAGGGCAGGGCGGACGGCAGCGUGGACGGGCGCCCACCAGGGCCCGACGACCCCUCGGGGCCCGAGGAGGCCGAGAGGGAGGGGGUGCCAGCACCGCACUGACGCUGUGGCUGGGCCUGCAGAGCCCAGGCCCGGCGCCCUCCGCCCUCUGCGGUUCCCGCCAGGAGCCUUCCAGCAGGCCUCAGCCCUCAAGGUUCUAUCUCCCUUUUCUCCCGCGUGCACGGUGGGGUGGGGCGCGCGCGUGUGUGUGGUGUGUGCACACGUGUCGGUGCGUGUGUGUGUGCACGUGUGCUCCUGAGGCCCUGGGGCUCGCCCUGGGCCGGCUGGUCCCCCUUCUGUGCCGUCAGCCUGCCGCCUUGGCCACCCCGAGCCUUGGUGCCCAGACGGCCCAGCCCAGGCAGCAGCGUCUCGGUGCCCCUCUCCGCUCCCUGGGCCCCGCCGGUCCCCCACGACCUUCUGGCGGCACGUGUGAAGGACAGUCGUCCAGGGACGCCCUGGCGUGGCUGGGAAAGGGCAGAUCCGCUUCCUCGGGAGCUUCCAUCUGACCCUCCAACCUGGAGGGAGAAUUUCAAACCUAGGGCGGCGGUUGUGAGGACGGACAGCGGCGUGCCUGUGCCCCCACCCCACCCUCUGCUCUUGCGUUGUGCUGUUGAGCUGAGUUUCUCAGCCUCUGGCUUCCGUGGGCUUCCUCACGUCAGGGGUGUGACCCGGGGCCUCAGUGUGCCCCACCCCACCUGCUGCUGUCCGAGUGUCACCUUUGAUCUGGGUUUAGGGCCGACGCCUGUCCCAACACUGCGGAGACACCAAGCGUCCUGUCUGCCCACCUCCACCCGGGGUUCUCGGCGUCACAGGGUUCAGUCGCUCUGGUCCCAGAUUACCUCAUUCCUGUGGCCUGUGCUCUCCCUGCAGGGCUGGAGGCCCGUGUUGCUCACUGGUCCCAGGCGUGGCCCCCACGAGCGGUUUCUGGCCCACGGUGGGUGCAGGUUCCCCUGGAGCGUCUCCCGGGUCCACCCAGUCCUCCACAAAUCCUGCUCUCUUCUGGGGGCCCUGGGUACCUUCAGGGCUUCGUCGUGAUGGCAGGAAGUUACUGCCCAGGCGCCGACCCUCUGAAAGCUGCCCAGUGUCACACCUUGAUCGUGCUGCUCAGGACAGGUCACCCCUACGCUGUCCGCCCACGGCCAGACGAGGCCAGUGAGACGGAGCAGACCCUGCCCUUACGUCCACAGGGCUCCAGCCUCCACCAGGAGAGCACUCGGGAGCCAGCCGUCGGCAGGCUCGGCCAGGCCCUGGGAGCAGCUCCCAGCCGGGCUUUCCGGCCCACACACAGGAGGUCCGAGCACGCUGCCAGCCAAUGACCAACGCUGCUGGCCAAGGUGAGCCAGGCCCCGAGGCCAGGGGCCACGUUCUGGUGCCCCUUAGUGCAGGCGGGAUGCCGUCCUCACAGACCUGAGGCAGGGAAGGCCUGUAGGACGGGGUGGCCUACGAGGCCGCAAGGAGCAGGACCCCGCCAGCACCUGGGGAGCUCAGACCGGACCCCCACGGAGGACCCCGCUGGGCGCAGCCGCCACCAGGCCCGGACCCCCGACUUGACUUGCCUAAGGCUGCUACGUCUGUGGUGCUCACGAAAACAUCACCCCCUUGACACCAGAGCCUCGUGGGGACCACGAGAACAGACAAAGACCCCUCCUGCCAGAAAAGCGUUUUAAUAAAGUGCCUAAAAUGCUCUCCCAAAAAUAA
RNA transcript from Orcinus orca (killer whale), 3331 nucleotides. It is a transcript of the gene named phosphatidylserine synthase 2, with no coding region annotated. The transcript is spliced from 12 exons. The record is from RefSeq and is a predicted model, not a curated record. Lineage: Eukaryota; Metazoa; Chordata; Mammalia; Artiodactyla; Delphinidae.